RNAcentral lists this ribosomal RNA (559 nucleotides) under Rhodotorula mucilaginosa. RNAcentral's name for it is "eukaryotic LSU rRNA". It matches the Rfam family "Eukaryotic large subunit ribosomal RNA", at positions 77 to 652 of the family's 3401-position model. The record is from RNAcentral. Lineage: Eukaryota; Fungi; Basidiomycota; Microbotryomycetes; Sporidiobolales; Sporidiobolaceae.
CCCCUAGUAGCGGCGAGCGAAGCGGGAAGAGCUCAAAUUUAUAAUCUGGCACCUUCGGUGUCCGAGUUGUAAUCUCUAGAAAUGUUUUCCGCGUUGGACCGCACACAAGUCUGUUGGAAUACAGCGGCAUAGUGGUGAGACCCCCGUAUAUGGUGCGGACGCCCAGCGCUUUGUGAUACAUUUUCGAAGAGUCGAGUUGUUUGGGAAUGCAGCUCAAAUUGGGUGGUAAAUUCCAUCUAAAGCUAAAUAUUGGCGAGAGACCGAUAGCGAACAAGUACCGUGAGGGAAAGAUGAAAAGCACUUUGGAAAGAGAGUUAACAGUACGUGAAAUUGUUGGAAGGGAAACGCUUGAAGUCAGACUUGCUUGCCGAGCAAUCGGUUUGCAGGCCAGCAUCAGUUUUCCGGGAUGGAUAAUGGUAGAGAGAAGGUAGCAGUUUCGGCUGUGUUAUAGCUCUCUGCUGGAUACAUCUUGGGGGACUGAGGAACGCAGUGUGCCUUUGGCGGGGGUUUCGACCUCUUCACACUUAGGAUGCUGGUGGAAUGGCUUUAAACGACCCGU